GACGAACGCUGGCGGCGUGCCUAAUACAUGCAAGUAGAACGCUGAAGGAGGAGCUUGCUCUUCUGGAUGAGUUGCGAACGGGUGAGUAACGCGUAGGUAACCUGCCUGGUAGCGGGGGAUAACUAUUGGAAACGAUAGCUAAUACCGCAUAACAGUAGAUGUUGCAUGACAUUUGCUUAAAAGGUGCAAUUGCACCACUACCAGAUGGACCUGCGUUGUAUUAGCUAGUUGGUGGGGUAACGGCUCACCAAGGCGACGAUACAUAGCCGACCUGAGAGGGUGAUCGGCCACAAUGGGACUGAGACACGGCCCAGACUCCUAAGGGAGGCAGCAGUAGGGAAUCUUCGGCAAUGGACGGAAGGCUGACCGAGCAACGCCGCGUGAGUGAAGAAGGUUUUCGGAUCGUAAAGCUCGGUUGUAAGAGAAGAACGAGUGUGAGAGUGGAAAGUUCACACUGUGACGGUAUCUUACCAGAAAGGGACGGCUAACUACGUG
Molecule: ribosomal RNA, 495 nt
Filed under: uncultured bacterium
Lineage: Bacteria
Description: partial 16S ribosomal RNA
Rfam family: Bacterial small subunit ribosomal RNA
Source: RNAcentral